Zea mays is the source of this 1280-nucleotide RNA transcript. RefSeq lists it as uncharacterized. The transcript has 3 exons. The record is from RefSeq and is marked validated. Lineage: Eukaryota; Viridiplantae; Streptophyta; Magnoliopsida; Poales; Poaceae.
CUUUUGUUCCUUAUCCCGUCGGCCGUCGCUAUCUCUCUUUCCCCUUGAUUUUUCCUGCCGCCGCUCAGUUCCUGGAAGCAAAUCCCGCCGCCGAAGACUUGCUUCUUCCCAGCCGAGCCCUUUCCCCACCCGUUCCUCCAUCUCACUGUGUCGGCGCUCUCCACUCCACACCUCGUUCCUGUGCUGGCCAUCUUCUUCCUCUGCGUGGUGGCCUACCCCUGUCGGUGCCCAGUCCGAGUGCCGCGUCGCGCCCCCCGUCUCCUCUGCUCGCUCAGCGCCCAUCUCCUACGGUGCCUGGCAGCCGCUUCCUCUCUGCUCGCCGCCGCACGCCCUGGAGCUCCAAUCGUCGCGCCCUCGGCUCCCUCUUGCCGUGCGCGUCGUGGCAGCUAUCCGGCCGCGGAGCAGUCCACGCCAUGGAGCUCCCUACCUGACCGCGACCUCGCCGGAAAGCUCUCGCGGCGCUCCUCCUCUGCUGGCGCUCGCCCUGCCCUCUGCCAUGGACGCCGUCGGCCUUGACUCCCUCUGGCCGCGGCAUCCGUCUUACUCCCUGCUCGACCCUGUUUCUCUCCCAAGCACCUCCGAUGGCCUUGCUCGUCUCGCCCCCACCAGAAAAGGCCAUCGGGACAUCGUGCUGGUCGCGAGUCUCCUCUGUGCUCCAUAAUCACCUGGACGAGCCUCAACUCAUUUACGACCUCCCCCUCUCAGCACGUCAGUGCAGAUGUCAUAUUUGGCCGCGCUCUGUGCUACUCUAGCUCGCGUUCAUUCCUAGGUUUGAGUUUGUGUACCACUUGUUCGACAAAAUGUGUGAACCAGUUGUCGACCUCGCCAUGGAUAGCCGAUGCGCCAUCUAUCGCUCCUCGCCGAUGUCUCCCUCUGCCAUUCCUACAACAGGUGAGGCACCUAGGAUGUUUGUGAUAAAAAAAGGGUUUCAGCACAUUGCACAUCAGGUACGAUAAUUAAUCACGUGAUGCGGAGGACCAGAAAUGAGUCGACCACAAGAUGAGGACCAGAAAUGAGUCGACCACAAGAUGCUGGAAAGCGUGAGCUUCUCCGCAAGAUGAAGUUGAUGGAUUAACCUGAAGAUGGACAGAUGAAACAAGUAUAAGAACAAAAGAUGGUCGUCAAGCGGGCGUCGUCUAACAAACACUAACGUAGUGUUUGUCCCAGGCAAGCCCCGGUGCAUGCAACCCCUUCCUUGUGUUUUUAAAUUAUUUGUACACACUUUAAGUCUAGUGAAUGUUCAUUAGGUUUAAGUGAGUUGCUUGGAAACCUUUUGAUGC